This is a non-coding RNA of Triticum aestivum (bread wheat), 125 nucleotides long. Lineage: Eukaryota; Viridiplantae; Streptophyta; Magnoliopsida; Poales; Poaceae. The record is from Rfam.
CUUAUACUUUCUCCGUCCAAAAAUACUUGUCGAGAAAAUGAUAAAAGUGGAUGUAUUUAGAAUUAAAAUACAUCUACAUACAUCAAUUUUUUAACAAGUAUUUUCGGACGGAGGAAAAGUAUUUA